This 210-nucleotide ribosomal RNA is filed under the name uncultured bacterium. Its description in RNAcentral is "partial 16S ribosomal RNA". It matches the Rfam family "Bacterial small subunit ribosomal RNA", at positions 1283 to 1500 of the family's 1533-position model. The record is from RNAcentral.
CUGUCUCAGUUCGGAUUGGAGGCUGAAACCCGCCUCCAUGAAGUUGGAUUCGCUAGUAAUCGCGCAUCAGCCAUGGCGCGGUGAAUACGUUCCCGGGCCUUGUACACACCGCCCGUCAAGCCAUGGGAGCCGGGGGUGCCUGAAGUUCGUGACCGCAAGGAGCGACCUAGGGCAAAACUGGUGACUGGGGCUAAGUCGUAACAAGGUAGC